RNAcentral lists this non-coding RNA (186 nucleotides) under Geosporobacter subterraneus. The record is from RNAcentral. Lineage: Bacteria; Bacillati; Bacillota; Clostridia; Peptostreptococcales; Thermotaleaceae.
UAAAAUUAAAUAUAUCAAGGUGCCUCUAAAAAAGAGGAGAAUAGGGAAGUCGGUGAAAAUCCGACACGGACCCACCACUGUAAGUAGUGACGAAUUCUAAUUAUGCCACUAGAUAUAAAUUAUUUGGGAAGGCUAGAAGGAGGUUGAUCUACAAGUCAGGAGACCUACCUUGAUAGGAGAAAAUAG